RNAcentral lists this ribosomal RNA (279 nucleotides) under uncultured bacterium. RNAcentral's name for it is "partial 16S ribosomal RNA". It matches the Rfam family "Bacterial small subunit ribosomal RNA", at positions 506 to 784 of the family's 1533-position model. The record is from RNAcentral.
UGCCAGCCGCCGCGGUAAUACGGAGGGUGCAAGCGUUAAUCGGAAUUACUGGGCGUAAAGAGCACGUAGGCGGUCCGGCCAGUCGGAUGUGAAAGCCCCGAGCCUAACUUGGGAAUUGCAUUCGAAACUACCGGACUAGAGUAUGGGAGAGGGAAGUGGAAUUUCCGGUGUAGCGGUGAAAUGCGUAGAUAUCGGAAGGAACACCAGUGGCGAAGGCGACUUCCUGGACCAAUACUGACGCUGAGGUGCGAAAGCGUGGGGAGCAAACAGGAUUAGAUA